RNAcentral lists this ribosomal RNA (433 nucleotides) under uncultured bacterium. RNAcentral's name for it is "partial 16S ribosomal RNA". It matches the Rfam family "Bacterial small subunit ribosomal RNA", at positions 29 to 507 of the family's 1533-position model. The record is from RNAcentral.
AACGAACGCUGGCGGCAUGCCUAACACAUGCAAGUCGAACGAGGCCUUCGGGUCUAGUGGCGCACGGGUGCGUAACGCGUGGGAACCUGCCCUUAGGUUCGGAAUAACUCCCCGAAAGGGGUGCUAAUACCGGAUAAUGUCUUCGGACCAAAGAUUUAUCGCCUUUGGAUGGGCCCGCGUUGGAUCAGCUAGUUGGUAGGGUAAAAGCCUACCAAGGCGACGAUCCAUAGCUGGUCUGAGAGGAUGAUCAGCCACACUGGGACUGAGACACGGCCCAGACUCCUACGGGAGGCAGCAGUGGGGAAUAUUGGACAAUGGGCGAAAGCCUGAUCCAGCAAUGCCACGUGAGUGAUGAAGGCCUUAGGGUUGUAAAGCUCUUUUACCCGGGAUGAUAAUGACAGUACCGGGAGAAUAAGCUCCGGCUAACUCCGUG